AACAAACUUGAACAAGGAUCCCAAUAACUGAACCAAAGAUAACUUUGCUCUCCACGAUGUAAUAUAUAUCAAAAAAGGACAUGAAAGAUUAAAAAACAAAAAUCUAGUAAGAAAAAUUAUGGGGAAUAAAGGGUGAAUAAAAAUAGAAGUCGCAUGAUGCGUGAGAGCGAGGGAGCACAAACUCCACCGAACCAACAAUUUGUCCAAG
Molecule: unclassified non-coding RNA, 208 nt
Filed under: Hevea brasiliensis (rubber tree)
Lineage: Eukaryota; Viridiplantae; Streptophyta; Magnoliopsida; Malpighiales; Euphorbiaceae
Source: RNAcentral